GUCCACGCCGUAAACGAUGGAUGCUAGGUGUUGUGGGUAUUGACCCCUGCAGCGCCGCAGUUAACGCAUUAAGCAUCCCGCCUGGGGAGUACGGCCGCAAGGCUAAAAACUCAAAGGAAUUGACGGGGGCCCGCACAAGCGGUGGAGCAUGUGGUUUAAUUCGACGCAACGCGCAGAACCUUACCUGGGUUAAAAUCCACCCGAAUCCUUCAGAGAUGGAGGAGUGCUCUUCGGAGAGCGGGUGAGAAGGUGCUGCAUGGCUGUCGU
RNAcentral lists this ribosomal RNA (267 nucleotides) under uncultured bacterium. Its description in RNAcentral is "partial 16S ribosomal RNA". It matches the Rfam family "Bacterial small subunit ribosomal RNA", at positions 793 to 1055 of the family's 1533-position model. The record is from RNAcentral.